Molecule: ribosomal RNA, 789 nt
Filed under: uncultured archaeon
Lineage: Archaea
Description: bacterial SSU rRNA
Rfam family: Archaeal small subunit ribosomal RNA
Source: RNAcentral
ACUGCUCAGUAACACGUGGAUAACCUGACCUAGGGUGGAGGAUAACCCCGGGAAACUGGGGAUAAUACUCCAUAGGCUACGGAAGCUGGAAGGCUCUGUAACCGAAAGCUCCGGCGCCCUAGGAUGGGUCUGCGGCCGAUUAGGUUGUUGUUGGGGUAACGGCCCAACAAGCCGAUCAUCGGUACGGGUUGUGGGAGCAAGAGCCCGGAGAUGGAUUCUGAGACAUGAAUCCAGGCCCUACGGGGCGCAGCAGGCGCGAAAACUUUACAAUGCGGGAAACCGUGAUAAGGGGACCCCGAGUGCCUGUACACGCAGGCUGUUCAGGUGUUUAAAACGCAUCUGGAGAAAGGGCCGGGCAAGACCGGUGCCAGCCGCCGCGGUAAUACCGGCGGCUCGAGUGGUGGCCACUAUUACUGGGCUUAAAGCGUCCGUAGCCGGGUUGUUAAGUCUCCUGGGAAAUCCAACGGCUCAACCGUUGGGCGCUCAGGGGAUACUGGCAAUCUAGGGAUCGGGGGAGGUGAGAGGUACUCUAGGGGUAGGAGUGAAAUCCUGUAAUCCUUGGGGGACCACCUGUGGCGAAGGCGUCUCACCAGAACGACUCCGACGGUGAGGGACGAAAGCUGGGGGAGCAAACCGGAUUAGAUACCCGGGUAGUCCCAGCUGUAAACGAUGCGCGUUAGGUGUAUCGGUGACUACGAGUUACCGAGGUGCCGAAGGGAAACCGUGAAACGUGCCGCCUGGGAAGUACGGUCGCAAGGCUGAAACUUAAAGGAAUUGGCGGGGGAGCAC